UAGGGAAUCUUCGGCAAUGGGGGCAACCCUGACCGAGCAACGCCGCGUGAGUGAAGAAGGUUUUCGGAUCGUAAAGCUCUGUUGUAAGAGAAGAACGUGUGUGAGAGUGGAAAGUUCACACAGUGACGGUAACUUACCAGAAAGGGACGGCUAACUACGUGCCAGCAGCCGCGGUAAUACGUAGGUCCCGAGCGUUGUCCGGAUUUAUUGGGCGUAAAGCGAGCGCAGGCGGUUUAAUAAGUCUGAAGUUAAAGGCAGUGGCUUAACCAUUGUUCGCUUUGGAAACUGUUAAACUUGAGUGCAGAAUGGGAGAGUGGAAUUCCAUGUGUAGCGGUGAAAUGCGUAGAUAUAUGGAGGAACACCGGUGGCGAAAGCGGCUCUCUGGUCUGUAACUGACGCUGAGGCUCGAAAGCGUGGGGAGCAAACAGG
RNAcentral lists this ribosomal RNA (429 nucleotides) under bacterium. RNAcentral describes it as "partial 16S ribosomal RNA". It matches the Rfam family "Bacterial small subunit ribosomal RNA", at positions 355 to 776 of the family's 1533-position model. The record is from RNAcentral.